This 71-nucleotide transfer RNA is filed under the name Podarcis lilfordi (Lilford's wall lizard). Its description in RNAcentral is "tRNA.Ala". The stretch from base 7 to 63 matches the Rfam family "tRNA", at positions 8 to 63 of the family's 71-position model. Rfam says of the family: Transfer RNA (tRNA) molecules are approximately 80 nucleotides in length. Their secondary structure includes four short double-helical elements and three loops (D, anti-codon, and T loops). Lineage: Eukaryota; Metazoa; Chordata; Lepidosauria; Squamata; Lacertidae. The record is from RNAcentral.
GGGCCAUAGCUCAGUGGUAGAUCAUCUGCCUUGCAUGCAGGAGGUCCCAGGUUCAGUCCCUGGCAUCUCCA